Molecule: ribosomal RNA, 519 nt
Filed under: Fimetariella rabenhorstii
Lineage: Eukaryota; Fungi; Ascomycota; Sordariomycetes; Sordariales; Lasiosphaeriaceae
Description: eukaryotic LSU rRNA
Rfam family: 5.8S ribosomal RNA (bases 197-350)
Source: RNAcentral
UCCGUAGGUGAACCUGCGGAGGGAUCAUUACAGAGUUCUAAAAGACUCCCAAAACCAUUGUGAACGUACCCGUCAGCGUUGCCUCGGCGGGCGGCCCCUCCCUGGGGCCGCUGCCUCCCUCGGGGGGUGCCCGCCGGCGUACCAAAACUCUUUUGUAUUUUAGUGGCCUCUCUGAGAAAACAAGCAAAUAAGUUAAAACUUUCAACAACGGAUCUCUUGGUUCUGGCAUCGAUGAAGAACGCAGCGAAAUGCGAUAAGUAAUGUGAAUUGCAGAAUUCAGUGAAUCAUCGAAUCUUUGAACGCACAUUGCGCCCGCCAGUACUCUGGCGGGCAUGCCUGUUCGAGCGUCAUUUCAACCCUCAAGCCCUGCUUGGUGUUGGGGUCCUACGGCUGCCGUAGGCCCUGAAAGCUAGUGGCGGGCUCGCUAUAACUCCGAGCGUAGUAGUAAAAUAUCUCGCUAGGGAGGUGUCGCGGGUUCCGGCCGUGAAAGCCCAUCUUUACACAAGGUGACCUCGAUCA